UGGACAUGAAAAAGUUUAUGAGUAAUUGACAUGAAUAUGAAAUUUUACGUUGGCAAAAUAAAAUAGACAUGCCAUGUAUUUUAAUUUCAACUCCAUGUCAAAACACCGUUGGGCAGAAAAAACAUGAAAUUAAAAUAUCAUAAGUGAUGACUCCUAAUAAUAAAACAAUGUUGGUCCGAAUUAAAACCAGAGUCAUUUCAUUCUCAAUUUAGACAUCAACAUAAGAACAAUAUAAAAAAAAUUGAUGUCUAAAAAAUUCAUCAUGCAAACACAUAAUAAAUCCUGAACAAAAUAUCUCGUUGGUUCAAUUUUACCUAGAAUAAUAAUGUGUUCAUUAUAUUUUUAGGCAUUUUCUGUUUUAAACAGUGCAAAACAUAAAAGAUGUUAACUUACAGUGCACUAGAAAACACAGAAAAACGCGAUGGCCCAAAACACCCACGGUUAUACAGCGGCCCAACCUAGCAGUGAAAACCGUAAAGAGAAAAAAAAAAUGCGCUGUGCUAAGGCAACCUGGGCUGAAGCCCGUGGCAAAAAAUGGCCCAUUAAGUGCUCCCAGGCCCGCAGCGGAGCUGAGCGUUGCUGCCAGCCAUUCGAUGGAAAUCGACGGUCCGCGUCGAUCACGGCUGGAACAAAACAACCGCCCGGCCAGAACCCUAGCCAUUUCCCCCGCGACUCCCCGCAUUUCACGCUCAUACAGUGAGCGGUGACGGCGUUCGACGGCGGCUCGAGGCGCGCCGGCCAUGGCGGCGCGGCGGCUGCGCUCGCCGGAGGAGCAUGCAACAGGAUGAAUCCCGCGCGCUCCCCCGUCGAGCGUGCCCCCAGCGUCCGUGCACAUGGCGCAUCAAGGAGGGUAGGGACGCCGGCCACCGCGGCAUGAGGAGCGAUGGCGACUUGCUCGGCGUCGGCCAAACAAGGGCACGUCCAUUAGAGCGGCAGCGGCGCCACUUCGUUUCGCGUGUCGUCCCGAGGACGGCGGCGUCGCGGCGUCUUCGCCCUCGCGCAACGGUGGGCGCUGCGCGGGCCCCGAAGGGAAGAGGCGAGGACGCGGCGCGUUAGGAGCUAGAGCUGCCGAGCUAGAGAUGCAGGCUCGCCCUGCAGCACGAGCAGGAGCUACGAGCUGGGGGUCCUGUUCAUCUUAACAUAUGUCCAGCAGACACCUCAUUGUCCAAAAGAGAACCUUAUUGGUAGUGUAUUUGUAUUAAUAAAUUAGCAAGGUAUUCUUUUU
Triticum urartu is the source of this 1225-nucleotide long non-coding RNA. RefSeq lists it as uncharacterized. NCBI's taxonomy places the organism in Eukaryota, Viridiplantae, Streptophyta, Magnoliopsida, Poales, Poaceae. The record is from RefSeq and is a predicted model, not a curated record.